This is a long non-coding RNA of Sorghum bicolor (sorghum), 1476 nucleotides long. RefSeq lists it as uncharacterized. The record is from RefSeq and is a predicted model, not a curated record. NCBI's taxonomy places the organism in Eukaryota, Viridiplantae, Streptophyta, Magnoliopsida, Poales, Poaceae. The transcript has 3 exons.
CCUAAUCCACCACUCCCAGCUCAUUUCCACCCCGCGCCGCUGCUCCCAGCACGCACCCAAGCGCUGCCGCCGGCCGGGGCAUACUCCGACGACGCAGGCCACAUCGACCUUCGCCCACACCGCUAGCUCCUUCGCGUUGGAGCCUCCAAGCCGGCGUCGCUGCCACCUCGCACCAAGGCCUCCCAUCUCUGAUGGCUCCCACACUUCAGGUCCAUAGGGACCCGGGACAUGACGAUGGAGCAUGCAUGGCAAUGGCCACAGCAAGGCACAGCAUAUCUAUGGUAUGAAUCUCCUAGGUAUGAAUCUCAAAUAGGACACCAGAUUGGCUAGAUUUAUCCCUGGUAGAAACAGCGCCGGUGGCAGUGGCUCGAGGUACCCAUGCAACGAAGUGCCCUUCAGCAUUGUAUAGGACAUGUGUAAGAUUGUUAACUCCAAUCUCAAUUCAGAAAUCUUAACUGCAUGCAGGACAUACAUUUCUUGGAUUAACUCAGUUAAGUAUAUUGCGGCUGUUCAGUUCUUUAGCUUCUUUGGCUUGCAUUUUGGCAGAUUGUGGGUACUGUGUCAUGACAAUACCUGAACAUGUUCAUGAGCAGGAGGUGGAAUUGUCCAGUAUGACCUGCUUGUACAUUGUGGUAGUGGAGGCAGAUCAGAGCGAUGAUUUAUUAGGCUGGAUAGGUUGGACAUUAUCAGUCCUAGUUUCAAAGUUGUGUUGGCGAUGCAUGAUUAGUCAUUUAAUUUCUCCAGUACAAGGAAAAGGAGUUAAGCUGCACCUUUGUUAGGGGCCUCAUUGCAAAGCUAGAUAUUCUACCUAGAUUGAUGUAGUUUAUGAUUGCUGCUACUCUCACUUUGGUGCUGUUUGAGUGAUAGUGCAUCUGGAACACAAUAUUAGUUUAGCCAAACAUGUAACCAGUGACAAGUCAAAGCUUCAUUUGAAAAUGUUUUUAUUUCAAUGACUUGCUGCAUAUUCAGAUGUUCACUGUUUACUUGUUUUUGUGUGUCCUUCAGUGACAUACAUUUCUAUGAUUGUGGCUAAACAAAUUAGUGAUAUUUCUUUAAUCUUGUGAUGAUACCUAGAUACAACUAUGACUAAACUAAUCUGUGACUUCAUUUCAUGGUCUUAUAGGAAUCUAAGUUUGGACCCGAGAAGGCUAGCACUUUGAACAUGUAUGCUAUAAUGAAGUCUGGAUUCAAAGAAGUGGACAAUUCUCAGCCGUAGACCACAAAACCAUCUUGUAGUGGACAAUUUAGAUCUAUAUAGGUGCUAGGACUUAUGUACGUUAGCUAUGACUGAGAUAUUCUUUCCUUUUAGCGUAAUGGUUGAACAUUUUUUAAUCUGAUUGGAGUGUAGUUGUUGGACACUUUAAUUUGUAAUAUGUUUCAACUAAAUUAGUUGAAUAUAUUUAUGUAUUGGAUUUUGAUUGUAUUUAUGCUGGAUUGACAUGUCAUCAUUGUGUCAAUUGAGUUUAGUUACCAGAA